AUAAGUGCAGAUGUGAAGUUUCAGCAAUAAUAUGUGCAAUUUUUAAAAUUUGUAAGAAUUUCACUCAUCCUCUCUCUCUAUAUCUAGAGAUAUAUAGGUGUCAUGUGUGAAAAACUAAGAGAGAGAAAGAGUGAAAAAUUGAGAGGGAGAAAGAGAGAGGAGAGGAUGUCUCGUCACAGGCGCCAAGCCUCUCGAAGUAUUAGUGAUAUUAACAUUUCCUCGGCUCUCAUCACUGCUACUGAAGAUGUUUCGCCACCCAACUCCACCACCACCACCUCCUCCCCUCAAAAUCUGCUUCCAAAAGGAGGAGAGAUGCUGAAAAGUGGGCAAUCUGGGCCACCGGAAAACCAGUCGCGGCCCUCAGAUGCUGCAUCCAACGCUGGCAAAUCCCCUCGGCCUCCUCCACCAACGAAUCCUUGAGUACUGCUGCUUUUCUUUGCUUUGUUGCACUGGGAGGCACCUCUCUCUCUCUCUCUCUCUUGUUUNNNNNNNNNNNNNNNNNNNNNNNNNNNNNNNNNNNNNNNNNNNNNNNNNNNNNNNNNNNNNNNNNNNNNNNNNNNNNNNNNNNNNNNNNNNNNNNNNNNNNNNNNNNNNNNNNNNNNNNNNNNNNNNNNNNNNNNNNNNNNNNNNNNNNNNNNNNNNNNNNNNNNNNNNNNNNNNNNNNNNNNNNNNNNNNNNNNNNNNNNNNNNNNNNNNNNNNNNNNNNNNNNNNNNNNNNNNNNNNNNNNNNNNNNNNNNNNNNNNNNNNNNNNNNNNNNNNNNNNNNNNNNNNNNNNNNNNNNNNNNNNNNNNNNNNNNNNNNNNNNNNNNNNNNNNNNNNNNNNNNNNNNNNNNNNNNNNNNNNNNNNNNNNNNNNNNNNNNNNNNNNNNNNNNNNNNNNNNNNNNNNNNNNNNNNNNNNNNNNNNNNNNNNNNNNNNNNNNNNNNNNNNNNNNNNNNNNNNNNNNNNNNNNNNNNNNNNNNNNNNNNNNNNNNNNNNNNNNNNNNNNNNNNNNNNNNNNNNNNNNNNNNNNNNNNNNNNNNNNNNNNNNNNNNNNNNNNNNNNNNNNNNNNNNNNNNNNNNNNNNNNNNNNNNNNNNNNNNNNNNNNNNNUCUCUCUCUCUCUCUCUCUCUCUCUCUCUCUCUCUCUCUCUCUCUCUCUCCUUUUACAAUUCGCAGAACAUUAAAUAUUUUCCUAAGCCUUUAUAACAUUUCAUGUAAAUCGCGUAUUGUUGUUGAAUUGUGUCUUUUUAUCUUUGCUUUAUUUCUUGCACACGAUUUACUGUUAUAUUCAUUUAUUUUGUAUUUAGCUAAUUGUGUAUACCAUUUUGGUAUAGAACUCGGUAUUUAGGAUUCUUGGUUCUAUAAGCUAACGGUUAAUGAGAAACCCAAAAUUUUAGCAAUAGAAAAACCCUUAAAAGUAUAAAGAAAUUGUUUAAAAAUACAAAAAUUUUGAACAAUUAUUUCAUGAACAAUUAUUUCAUGCGGGCUAGACUGUAUUUCUACAAUAUACAAUCCAGAGGUAUAAAGCAUCCAUCUUAAAGAUGGAUGCAAAUAAGUGGUCCAUCUCAAAACAGUUGUAGCUAACAGUCCAAAUAUUUUCUUGAUAUAAAUAUCAUAUCUAGUUUUUCAAUUUUUUUUAUUCAUAAUCUCAAUGUUAAAGAUUAUAUAUACUCUAAAAAUUAGGAUCAAAUUAUAUUUAAAAAUAUAUAUUUAUUGCCAAGCCUGUAUUUUUACAAUAUUCGGGCUGGCCGUAUGCUAAUCGCAUCCUAUGUUAUUUAGAGAUAUGAUUUAGAUUGUUUUUAAGAUGAUUUAGGAAUUUUAAUUUUUAAAAAAAUAUUCAAGAUACAAAUCAACAAUUUCUAAUCAUCCAUCUUGUAUACAUCUUGUAUAGAUUUGUUUCAUCCUCUUUAGUUCUUUAUGGCUCUUUUAAUUUUUUUUCAUUUUUAACUGUUUUUUUGCUAUUUUUUAACUAUUUUUUUAUACGUUUUGUUUUUCACUUUUUUUAACAAUGUUUUUGGGGGUGCAAGGGCCUAUAUCCAGUCUCGGCCGGGUUACUCCCCUCUGCCAAGAGGUGGAGUACCGUGGCUUAGGAGAGCUUUGAAACACUAUACGUGAUCAGGUCUUGGGUCCCACUCUACUCCCAUCACAGUGCGAAACAGUGACUGGACGACGAUAAACUCGUGAGUUACGACAAUAAAAACGUUAUAAAUGUCUUGUGUACCACACAGGUUGCAAAGGCAAGCUAUCUAUUGUCCUUAUUCGCAGAAAAUAAGAUGAGAAGAUUGCAGUUGGGGAAAUAUAUACCGAGACAAUUUACUUUUUGGGCAAGGUGGUUAUAAUCAAUUUGCAUGUGAAAUUCGGUAGCUGCAUUUAUUUCAUGAAAAAAGUUUAUAUAUGGUUGCAAUUUUACCUCUACAACUACGGAUGCACCUCAAAAAUCCAUCGGAAAAGAUAGUUUUGAUAUUGAAAACUAUCUCAACAUCGAGAUGUAUGACCAUGAAAAAUAAAAAGAUUUUAAGUCUCAGAAAUUGAGUAUUUUACAACAUAUUAUCUACACCAUCCAUUUUCAAUAUUUAAAUAUGUUUAUUGAUCUAUUUUAACCAUUUUUAAAAUUUUAAAUUUUAUAAUUAAAUAUAAAAAUAAAUUUUGAGAUAAUCCUAAAAACAUUUUACAUCAAAAAUUAUAUACCAUGAUAAAAUUUGAAGGUGCACUUUACCUCUACAGCUACGGAUGCAUCUAUAUGCCAACUGCAUUUUUAUUUCAUUGACCAAGCUCAAAGUUCAAAAACAAAAAUUUGAACUUUGUGACACACCCAAACUAUCAAAUUUCACGUCGGAUGGUUGUAAGUAAUUGUGAUCUCCCUGUAUCAAAUGUAAAUGGUUGCAUCGUAUACAAUCUUGUUGGUUGAUGAUGAGGACUGCUAAAAGCCAAUUUUUUAACCUAGAAAAAUUUAGGUGACCUGCACACAUCACAAUACACGUGCCUAUCAAACACUCACAUGUUAUGUAGAGGAGGGAAGGAGCCAUGACUGUGGAAACCGACUUCUAUUACACAUUAUAACUAUCCUUAUUGGAAAGUUAUUGGUGGGUAUGCCAUUUUAAUGGGAUAUUUAUUUUGAUUAGUCCUAUGGUUUGUGUCGGAGGGCACAAACCAUUCAUUCAAAGAUGGAUAUAGAUGAUGGUCCCCGCAAAACAAAAGUAAAAAUAAUGGUUUAAUAAUUUUUUAAAAUGUCAUUUUUAAUUUUAAAAAUUUAUUUAUUUUAUACAUUAUCAUGGUCACCAUAUUAGCGAUCAUCAUUUUCAUCAUCAUCAUCAAAAAAAUUUUACCAAACAUGUUAGGGAUUAUAUAUUUCUAGAUACUAGACUCAAAAACUGUGUCCUUUGUUUUAUAAUAUAUUGAGAUUUAUAAAUAGAAAAAUUUUCUAUGAAGUUCUUCUAAGAAUCAAUAUUGAGAUGAUUUAAGACAUGAAACAUGUCCAUCAAGAUUUAUAAACGUAGAUUUGAUGACCUGAGAAAAUUAAAAUGAGCAAUCCAAAAAACAAAUUUUAAAAUUGUCUAUUUCUUAAGGCUGAUACCAUUUCUUUUGUUUUUUUUUUGUUUUUGGCAUAGUAGUGAUUUUGAUGGUUGAGAUCAAUGCUAAAUUAUUUGACUCAGGUGCAGGAUUCGAAACCUGCCUGAGCUGGUAAAUAACAGAGCCGAACAACUCAACCAGCCUGGUUUUCCUUUCUGUUUUGGGGUAAUUUCGUGGGGGAAGACAAGCCCCUACCUGUUUUAGUAUGCAUAUUUUAUGUUUCCAAUGUACCCUGGUGGCAAUAUAGUAACUCGCAUUGGCCUAUGACCGAGUAAUUCGGUCGAGUUCUAAAUUUUGAAAGAGAAUACAUUCGGUUGAAGCCUUCGGAUUUUAAGUUUAAACCGAAGAGAAGUGAAACUUAGUACUACCGCUUCGGUUAGAUUUGGACCGCUUCGGGGUGUUCUGGUAAGAUUUGAGUAUGCUUCGAGCCAAUUCGGCCGAAGCUUCGGCUUCUUCAGCCUCAGCAAAAAAAAAUCUAUAUAAAAGUAUUUUUUAAAACAAAUUAUUUAUUUUAUUUUAACUUUUCAUAUUUUUUUUAUAUACUUUAUAUAUAAUAUAAUUUAUUUAUAUUAAAUUACAAAAAAGGUCCAAAGACUUCCCCUAAAUUGCCCGAAACACCGAAUUGCUUCAUUUUUUUCUCCAAAUCAAAUAAGAAUCUGAAGGGAAUAUGACAACAUUGUUUAAAACUAUUAAGCGACAAAAUUUGAAGUCCAAAAUCUUUCUAACACAAACAUAUAAACCGGUGUAUGGCUGACCAAAACCCCAUCCUUUUUACAUUGUUUAUCGUGGAAUAAUUUUUUAUUAAGAUUAAUAAAUGUAAAUUCGAUUAUACAAUACAAAAAGGAUAAAUUUGGAAAAAAUUAUGAAUUAUAAAAUCCAUAAAAGUUUCCUUUCUUUUUUUUUCUUUUGACCAAGAAUCCAUAAAAGUUUCUGUGUAUAACAAAUUAUCAAAAAAUUCCUAUCCAACUUAGUAGUUUUAACUUACACAUACCUUACUAAUUCAUUAUAGUUGGCACCCCAUAUACUUUAUUUAGGUUUUGGAGCUAUUUUUAGAGAGGUGCAGAUUUUUUCAUAAAUUCAAAACGCUAAUUUUGGUUUCAAAUUACAUAAAUGUUACAAUGGGGAACAUUUUAACAUCAUCAUGUGUAUGGAAAUCCUUAUAUAAAUUUUUUCCCAUAUGGGUGCGCUCUUCCAAUACAGAUACAAAAUAAAAUAUGAAAUUUGACACUGUAAAACAAUUCGCUCUUAGUACAGGAAGGUUACAAUCAAUUAACCUUAGCUAUUGAACAUAAAAUCCAACUACCUAGAUCCAAGAAAUUUUAUUUUGAGUAUUGUGCCCAAUAAAAAACAUACCCUUAGCCACUCAAUUUUACAUCUAAUGACUAAUAGUAAUUGUGAAUUUGUGACCUCCUUAUGGUGAAAAUAAACAUUCUCAUUGUAUAUUUCUCGAACAGUGACUUCGAAUUACAAAGUAUUUCUCCAUUUCCCUAAAAUUUCUUUGAAAACUCAUCUAAUUGAGCUCAUUAUCAAAAUGUAACGAUGAUUAGCCAAAUAAUGCCACCCUAAUCACACAUUAAAAGGUGCGGUUUGUAUAGAGAUGAUGCUCUAAACAAUCAAAGUAAAGCGCACUUUCAAAAAGAAUCGCAAAAUGUGGUUUCGAUACUGAAAUCUUUGUGAUAGCUUUAAAAUACAUUUUCAUCUUUAGUUAUAAAAUUUAACGCUUCAAAAAUAGUAUAGAUAAGUAGAUCUAUGAAAACUUGAAAAUAUUGAAAAUUGACGGUAUAAAAAUGCGUUACAAGAUGCAUUAAUUCUAAAACUUGAAAUCCAUUUUUUCUCAUGUCCAAGCGUCUUGAUUUUGAGAUGAUCAAUUUGAAAAUAUUUUGGCAUCAAAACAACCUCUUCUAGUGAAACUUUUUAGGAGGCUCUAAUUUGAUUGUUUAGAGUUUCGGCUUUAUAUAAACAUUUGCCCUCAUUAGAAAGCCGGUUCAUUUAUUAUUCUCUAUUUCGUUCAAUAAAUGAGUUAAAAUGGGAAUGUGAAAAGGAAAAUGGUUUCAUAGGGCUGCAGCCCUAUCAAAAUUAAGUAAAGCCUCAACUCAAAAUUCAUCAAAAAUUAUAAUUCAAGCAUUGGAACACCUUUACAUUGAUCAUCUCAGCUUGACCAUAUCAGCUUGAAAGAAAAAAAUUAAGAUUUUAAGCUCUAAAAAUCAUGUAUAUUGUAACAAAUUAUCUAGACCAUCCAUUUCACCCUAAAAUUAAGUGUUCAUAGAUCCGCAAGAUGUAUACCAUUUUUUUAGUUUCAAAGUUUAUUAUCGGUGUUGGAAAUUGAUUUAGAUCCAUCAUGAGAUUUCCAUUGCCGAAAGUACUUUCCAGACGAAGAUUUGAAGUGAGACUUUAUUUUGUUUUCAUAAAGCCUAGGCUCUAUAAAAACUUCAUCCAUGUGAAAAAAAAAAAAAAACACUUGAAACAUAAGAUCAUUUAAAUAGAUAGUGUAUGAUAAGUUAAAAACAGUAAUUCCGACCUGAAUAGGAAUUCUACUCAAAGUUAGAUAGCUUUCAUUAGAAGAAUAGUUAUUUGUGUUAAAAAGAAGAAUAGAGAAUGGAUCAUAUUUAAGAAAAUUCAAUCAAAAUAACUAAGAGAAAUUAGAUAAUUGCAUAAAGAAUAUCAAGAUAUUCACAUUAAAUCAAAUAAAAAUAAUGCAUGAAUCUAUAAUUUAAAUUAAAUAAUUAUAAAUUUUGAAGUAGUUGGCUGACAAAUGUCAUGUCUAAUUGUCUAUUUCCAUUUACAAUCAAUCUCACUUUAGUUUUAAUAAAAAUAAACUACACUGAAGAAACCCGAAAGAGAGAAGAAACACAAGAUCAAAAAACAAAAGAUUUAAAGUUAAAACUAUUUGGCAGAAGCUUCCCUACCAAUUAGAAUUCCAAUUCAAACAGCUUCUUAUCUCUUCCCGUACAAGAUGGAUGCUUAUAAAGAUGAAAUAGAAAAGGAAAAUUAUUUUAAUGCAGGCUGGACCGCAUUUCUACAUCAUAUCGUCCCAAGGUAUGAAGCAUCCAUCUUUAAGAUGGAUGCAAAUAGGUGGUCUCUUUAAAAACAACUGAAACUAACUGUCCAAAUGUUUUCUUCAUAAAAUCAUUAUUUUUUAUUUUUUAGAUUUAUUUAUUUUUUUAUAUUCAUUAUCUCCGUAUUAGAAAUUAUGUCCUAAAAAAUAGGGUCCGAAAAUCCGUCUCAAAAACAGAUUUUCAAGAGUCGACUAAUUUCUACAAGGACUCAUAGAAACCAUGUCCAAUAGAAAAUGAUUUGAAAUCCACGUGCUCUCUCUCUCUCUCUAGCUUUAACAUGUAUUAUUAGGUCAUUUAUUUCACAACAGAAAACAUCAAUCCCUUGUUGCACAAGUAAAUGCAGCCACACAAUAAUCAAAACGGCAAGCUUUCGAUGUUUUCAACCGUCCACUAUGUUAGGUCAUUUAUUUCACAACAGAAUACAUCAAUCCCUUCUUGCCCAAGUAAAUGCAGCCACACAAUAAUCAAAAGGGCAAGCUUUCUAUGAUUCCAACCGUCCAUUUUAUAUGGAGGACUAAGAUUGCUCCAAUCACAAUGUCACAUCCCUACACUAUUUUAUUUUUUUCUAUAAACUAGUUUGACACCAAAUUUUGGACGUUCGAUCUUCUAUUCAACUCGAACUAGCGAAAAAAUAUAAAAAAAAUAUUUCCAAUAAAAUAAAAUGACCAAAAUACCUGUAAAAGUUUCAAAAGGUAUUUUGAUCAUUAAAUUUUAUCGAAAAAUUAUUUUUGAUAUUUUUUAUAAGUGCACCCCAAUGAGAAGAUGACACAUACCAAAUUUCAUAUUCAUACCAUUUGUAUAAAAAAACUAAAAAUAAAAUACUUUGAGACGCCAGAUCUAAGAUCAAACGGUGAGUGGCUCUCUUGAUCAAAAUUGGAUGGCUGGAUAGUAGGGGAAGCAUAGAUCUUCUAUACUGUAGGGGAAGUAUAGAAACCUUUCCCUAAUCAAAAUGUAUUUAGGGUUAAUGAAGAGUUCAUCGCACAUUGAUGAGCCAAUAAAUCAGCUUUUUUAUUUGCUUCUCUAAGCGCUUGAUUAAGCUAGUGGCAUGUUAGUGCAUAAAUCUUCUAUUUCUCUAAUAAUAUUAGACAAACCCCAUAGAAUGUGCUACACACCUUUUACACCAUUUAACUACAUCUACAAAGACUCCAACUAUAAUACACUUCUAUAGAUGUCCAAGACUUUAUGACCAUGUGAAGUGGCCCUCAUCUCAACUUCAUUAGCUGUAACAUCACCCACUGUCACUAAAAAAUGUAUACAAGAUAGAUCCUUAAUGAUCACGGAUAAGCCCUCCAACUCCCUCCGCACCUGGAUCUCCAAAGGACCAUCCAUCAUAAUGCAUUUCCUAUACACCUUCAGGAGGUAGCAGCAAUAUUUGUGCUUUUCAUUUCUUCUUAACAUUUAGCUUUGGAAUUCUAUCUAGCCUAUACAUAAGAUCAGUACCAGUAACACCCUAACAUUCUAUAAUUAUGGAUUCCCAAUAAGCCACUUGCUCUCUAAUUCUUGCAAUCAACCUAUCCACCUCAAGACAUAUGCUUUCGCAAGUUCUUCUAUUUCUCCCCUUCCAUACCUCCCACAACAAAGUUGCCUGCAUUAUCUUCCACAACAUAUUUCUUAACUUCGCCACCAGAUCAAUGUUCAAAGCAUCAAAUGCCUGAAUAGCUUCUUGUACUCGGUGCAUCUAUUGUUAACUACUUAUCUAAUAGUUAAAUCCACAUGAAAACUUGGACUCUGUAUGGCACAAGAAGCUUUCAUACCUGGCAAACUUUGGCUCCCUCCAUCUCAAUUAUCAUCGAAAAACAACUCAUAAAGAGAUCUAACAGAAUAUUCACUAUCAAUUGUAGCAUCCCAAAUGGCUUCAUUUGAAGCCCUUGCACUGAAAUAGUAAUGCUGUUAAAUAAAGUACGCAUGAUGCAAUUGAUUAAUAACAGUAUCAGAUACUCUAUUGUCUCUGUGAGCAAAGGACCAUACUGCAUUAUGCCCCAAACAGUCAACCGAAUUGGCCACUAAAAUAUACAUAUUAUGUGCAAUUUGAUAUAACUCCGGAAACAAGAUCUUUAAAGGUCUGCCCCUAUUUGGUGCCAAAACAACGUGGAAUCUCCUCUCCCUACUUUCAUUAGAAGAUUCCGAAGGAAAACUGACCUUAUAGCUCAGCAUACCUCUGCAUAUUGGUGAAUCCUUGAGACAUUUCCAAUAUGUUGGGUGACCCUAUUCAUACUAUACUUCCAUACAAGCAACUCCUUUCAUAAGUGGUUCCUUGGUUGGGUACUUCACCACAACUGUUUAGCCAUCAAUUAUAUAUUCACAUAUUUUAAUCUUCUUAUACCCAAACCCAUAUUUUUGGGGUGAACAAACCUUUUCCAAAGCAACUAGAUGAAUUGUAUUAUAGUACCCUUCUGUCCCCAAUUUUGGCAAAAAAAUGUGGAAUCUCCUCUCCCUAAUUUCAUUCGAAGAUUUGUAAGGAAACUCACCUACAGCUCAUAAUACAUCUCCAUAUUGUUGUAGUCUUGGAAUCCGAUGAGAAAUUUCCAAUAUUCUUUGUGUCCCUAUUCAUACCAUACUUCAAUGCCAGCAACUCCUUCCAUAAGUGGUUCCCCAGUUGAGCACUUCACAACUAUUUAACCAUCAAUGAAAUAUUCAUAUAUUUUAAUCUUUUUAUACACAAAUCCCCAUGUUUUUUGGGCGACAAAUAUUUAGCCUUCUGUAAAUCAAGCUUAAACGAAUCAUUGGGUCCCAGAUUGAUCUCAAUAUUCUCGAUUCGGUUAAAGGGCAAAUCAGGUACCUCAUAUGUUCAUAGGAAACUUAUCGACUCCACACCCCAAUAAAUCAGCCAACUUGGUGAUCUCCUGCUCUCUACAUGCAAUACCCACCGACUUAGUUUUCUGUAGACUAACCUUUAAACUUGAAACUACUUCAAAAUACUUUAGAAACCUUUUUUCGAUAUAUGGAAGUCUGAGAAAAGUCAUACAUCUUCCUUUUUUUUUUUUUUUACUGUCGUAUGUCCUCGAUGGGACAGAAAAGUCAUGCAUCUUCAACACUGAGAAACAUCACACUGAAAGAUUCAGGCACGAUAGUGAACAGAAAAGGGGUCAACGGAUCCCCUCAUCUGACCCCUCUACUUGCCUUGAAGAAUCCCUCAGGACUUCCAUUAAUUAAAAGAAAAGUGAGUGAAGGAUGAACAAAACAAAUUCCAACUUUCCAUAUCUCACAGAAACCCAUAAUCAUACACUAUCGCAAGACACCCGUAUCAACUCUAUUAUACGCCUUCUCCAAAUCUAAUUUGCAAAUUACCCGUCGUCUAUUUACCACUCUCCUAGAAUGAAUGCACUUUUGAGAAUACUACCAGUGAUUUGUCUCCCAUGAAUGAAAGUUGAUUGGGGACCUUUAAUCACAUAGCGAAGGGCACCUUUAAGCCUUUAAGUCAGAAGGUCUGUUAUAAUAAUAUAAAAGCUAGUCAACAAGCUAAUGGGUAUGUCAUUCAAAUCUCCAAUUGUACCCUUCUUAUGAAUUAAAGUUGUGUCAGUAUAACUGAGAGCCUCAUUGAUCUUGUCUCGAUGGAAAAACUCCUGGAUCGUAAGGAUUCUAUCCUUAUUCAUUGAUUCCCAAUGUCGACAGGAAAAAAAAAGGCAAGGAAAGAACCAUUUGGACCUAGAGGGCUAUCACCUGAAAGGCUCCAAAUGGCGUCCUUAAAUUCAGAUUCAGAGAAAGGCUUCUCAAUUUCCAGAGCAACAUCUUUUGGCAGUUUCACUAAAGUGAACUUGUGCUAAGUUAGAAUUAGGUGUACUUUCAGCUUGAAAAUAUUUCUCGAAAUGAUCCACAAUAGCUCUCUUAACUCCUGAAGACCUCCAUCCUCCACUCCAAUCCUAAUACCGAUGAUACUAUUUGAUCUCCUCCUUGAACCAGCAAUUGAAUGGAAAAGCACAAUAAUUAAAUCCACUUCUUUUAACCACUUCACUUUCAAAUGUAGGUGCCAAUACAUUUCUUCUAAUAUAAGCACUCCAGCAACUUAUUCUUUACUUCAAUCCUUUCCAAAAUUUUCUCAUAGGUAAGAACUCGCUGCUCCUCUUUCUUCUAUCCAUAUUAGAGAUUUUUCCUAGGAGGCUCUUCGUUUCUAUCUAUAGUAGAGGUUUUGCCUAGGAGGUUAGUUAUCUUAGACCUGAAAUUAGGGGCACUUUCUUUUUUUAUCUUCUAAAUUUAUCCUUUAAAAAUUGGAGCUUCUUUGUUAAUUUAAACGCAUACCACCCAAAAACUAUUGAAUUAAACCACAUCUAUUUCAUCAUAUAUGUGCCUUCUUAGUCCUGUAGCCAACACAUUUCAAUUCUAGUAGAAGGACCCGAAGUACAAUUUUCUAUAUUACGUAAAACAAUAGUAUGAUCCGAAGAUAAUUUGGGAUAGACUUUCAAAGAGACCAACAGGAAGGUGGACUCCCAAGAAUUUGAAACCAAGAAACGGUCUAACUUCAAAAAGGAAGGUUUUUUAAAAUUAUUAUUUAUCCAAGUAAACUGAGUACAUUGCAGGAAUCUCGAUCAGCUCAUUCAUCAUGAUAAAGCCAUUGAAGGCAUGCAUAUAGGGCGUAAUACAAUUUCUACUACUAGACUCAUUUGGCCAAUGAGUUAUGUUAUCCCCAGCUAUACACCAAGCUAAUUGUUCGACAUAUCAGCCAUUUCUUGCAAAAACAGGGAUAUGAUAGCUGGAAUAUUAUGCCCAUAAACAUGCAAUAAGAACCAUUUAAAGUUAAGCAUGUGGUUGCUCAAAAACUAUAGAAACAAAUAUUUUCCCUAUAAUAGAUUUGGAUCAUUUAUUACUGAAGAUUCCAAGAAAACCAAUACGCCCUUAAAAAGCCAUCAGAAUCCUCACAUACACGUUCCACUGAACACCUUCCCCAAACAACAAGCACACUCCGAAGGUCCGGGCUUGGUAACUUGGUUUGUUGCAACAACAAAAUGCCCGGACAGUGACACCUAAACAGCAACAAGACUUCCUUUUUCCUUUGAUCGUCUCAAUGCCUCAGAUAUUCCAACACAGAAUCUUCAUCCCAACUCCCAUGUCCAGUGGUUCACCUGCAGGCACGGAUGAAUCUGAAUCAGCCUUGAAUGAGAAGCUUUCCCCAUGCCCCUGGUAUUGAAACCCAAUUCUAAGCACAGAAGUUCCCUAUUCCAUUUAAAUUGCUUCUUCCUCUCCGUAAUCCCGACCGCACACCUUUCCCAUCAUUUAUAGCAUAUGCAAACUAUGUGAUUGGUUCCUCUGUAAUGACUCAGCCCCCAAGCCUCUGUUCCGAUUCAUCCUGGGAAUCCUUUUAAUUAGAUGUGUCCUCCUUGCUUUGAUUUAGGUGGUUAAUGUUUACCCCCAUGUUCGCAACAUCACCAUGGUGCAUUCAUCAGUACCACUCUCCAAUGGCUUAACAGUGGCCAACGGUUGAACGUUCUCCAAAACUCCCCUCACAACCACAUUGACAAGACCACCUGGUGGCUGCCGAGGUGGCCGAAUCAGAACUACUGCCCACUACUUAGGCUCUAGAUAAACCAUAGGGAUUUUGGACCAAUUAAAGGUACAUGUUUCUUCCUAUAUCUUUCAGAUACACACUUCGUAUUGGCAGGUAUCUCUCCAGAACCACCAAUCUAGGAUGACUGACUGAACAAUUGAGAUAUUAUCUUUGUAGCUUUCUCUCUACAAGUUUUACUCAAGGUCUUCUCUUUCUCUUUAGAUGUUAAAUCUCUCUCCAGUCGUUUCCCCUUCCAUAUUAUACAUGGAAUACUACGGAUAGAAUACGAGGUAAAGUUACUUUUACUCACUCACUUCUCCUAACUAUUCCAUUAAUGAUAUGUUCUUCAAAUGCUAUCCCAUUUCUUCUUGCUGAUCCAAAAUACAGGACUUAUUAAAACUGUAAAAGUAUUAUCCUUACAGCCGAUAUCCAUAAUGUUCCCGCAGCUCAACUACUCUCAUGCACCACAGUAUCACAAUUUUGAAGAAUAGCAAAUGUUUCAUUAUUCUCACCUCUAAGCAUAAUUGGCCUCUCUCUUGGGCCCCAUACCUUUUUGAAUUCAGAAACCUCUAAAUUUGAUAUAUAUUAAUUACUUUUCCAUGUGUAUCCCUCCUGGUUCCUUUCAAGCUCCCCAUUGACUAAGCCUUCAAUGAGGAAUCUUUGUUGUUCCUAUGCAAAUCACCCCCUGCCGAAAACACUAACAUCUGUUUUUUAUUAUAUCUUAAAAGAGAUAUAUCUGAGAAUCUAAUGGGGUGAGGAUUAGUAUUUUGAUUAUAUCUUAAAAGAGACAUAUCUGAGUCAGCCUUCAAGAUAGGGAAUCUUGGAAGGGGGUCACCUAUGUAAAGGGACAUUGUAGAGAACUCUUGAGCCAUCUCCAUCAAUAGGCUGGGGGAUUUGAGCUAUGUAUAUCAUACUAAUUUAUGUAAUCAAAAGUUGGCCCAAAGUUGUAGGCAUCAAACUCUCGAACCAAAAUAACCGUAGUCUAAAGGAAUGACACCAAGCGUAAGACGGUAAUGGAAUCUAAAAAAAUAUGUAACCUCUAUCUUAUCCUUUAAUUUUGUGUUUCCGUUGCAUUUGGGAUUCAUUGACAAAUCCAAUACACCUACCCUAGCCUGAAAACAUAUUCUUCUUUACCACAAUCCAAUCAUGUAAUCUACAGAGGUUUUCUUGAUUUAGAUGAAUUGGGAAUCUCAUUACCUCUGCGAUCUACAAACUCGUUCUAAUCUUAAUAUUUUCUUGGACAAUGACAAUGGAACACACAUCUUCGACUUUCAAUAAUACUUUCUCAGAAAUAGAUGUGCCUAAUAUUUUUUUCAAUUUUAAAUAUUAAACAACCCACAGAAUCAUCAGUAACUGAAUUUUAAUCUAUUUCCAGAAAUUUAGCACAUGCAAUUGCUAUUUCUUUAAACACUCAAAAUUUCAAAGCAUGCAGCACAUGUAGAGGCAAACCCUCUACUCUGCACUGGACUAUUUUUGGGGCCCUACCCUCUCUUUGU
RNAcentral lists this long non-coding RNA (13582 nucleotides) under Amborella trichopoda. Its description in RNAcentral is "long non-coding RNA (ATRI_LNC004700)". Lineage: Eukaryota; Viridiplantae; Streptophyta; Magnoliopsida; Amborellales; Amborellaceae. The record is from RNAcentral.